AGAGUUUGAUCAUGGCUCAGGAUGAACGCUAGCUACAGGCUUAACACAUGCAAGUCGAGGGGAAACGACAUCGAAAGCUUGCUUUUGAUGGGCGUCGACCGGCGCACGGGUGAGUAACGCGUAUCCAACCUGCCCACCACUUGGGGAUAACCUUGCGAAAGUAAGACUAAUACCCAAUGACGUCUCUAGAAGACAUCUGAAGGAGAUUAAAGAUUUAUCGGUGAUGGAUGGGGAUGCGUCUGAUUAGCUUGUUGGCGGGGUAACGCCACAAGGCGACGAUCAGUAGGGGUUCUGAGAGGAAGGUCCCCCANAUUGGAACUGGAAGACACGGUACCAAACUCCUACGGGAGCA
This 352-nucleotide ribosomal RNA is filed under the name uncultured bacterium. Its description in RNAcentral is "bacterial SSU rRNA". It matches the Rfam family "Bacterial small subunit ribosomal RNA", at positions 8 to 349 of the family's 1533-position model. The record is from RNAcentral.